CUUCUUCUUUGGGUUUUAAUGGCGGUUGGCAUACCAGCCUGUAGGCGCAUUACCGCCACCUGCUGGACUGGAGGUGGCGCAGUAGAGCUGCAGGGAAAACAGCUUUCUCUCUAUUGUUCCUCUUAUUUUUAAAUAAUUCAUUUAACAAUGAUGUACUUCCCGUGAUUUAGUUCUACUGUAAUAUUGUGUGGUACUUUAAUGGCAAUUUGUUGUUGUUUUAUUGAUUGUUUUCUCAAUAUAUCCUAUUUCUUCCACCUCUACAUAAGCAGGAACAGACAGAGACAAGAGACAUAUAAUCCCCUAUUAUGUAGCCCAUAUCGUUUGUGAUGAAUCUCAUAAAGUAUGUCCUGACUGCAUGAUGACUUUCCUGUUUUAAUAACUUUAUUAGAUUGAUUGUUCAUUACUGACAGAUGGUCUGAUACUCUUUUCCCCGCUAUGUCACAAUGUGGGAUGAAGAAUGCAGCACCUGUAUGGCCUGUCUGGAUCUUUUGAAUCUAUAUUAUGUGGUCAGCAAGAUUUUAAAAUACGAGUUCAAUGAGAAAUGCUGCCUUUCUAUACUCGAAAAGUCAUAAUGGAGACUGCAACUACAGUAGUAUUUUGGGGGCGGUCGGCAGCCACAUGAAGCGCAUCUCUGCAUGCAACCACAAUCAUCGCUGCAACACCUUAAAAUCAUUUCCACAUAUUAAAAGUCUUUUUGUGGUGUUAUCUCUGGGAACUUUACUGCCAACUUCGGUGUCAUUGACAUGUUAUCCUGGCAGAAUGGGACUGGGAGGACAUGAACUGCAGGCCAAAAUCAGAUCUGAUGGUGAAAGGGAGACCAUGGCAACGGAAAAUAUUCGAUCACCUUGUCUGUUGUAGUUGACUGCAGGUUGUCAUAUUCCUAAUAUUGGCUGUAAUAGUCUAUAACUACCAAUAUAGAAUGUCUUAGCCUUGAAUUCAAACCAAAGGCAAGUCGUUUCAACUGUAAAGCCAGUCCUACUUGGACAUUUGUCAAACACAAGACUGCAUUCAUAAAUCCUAUAAUUAAUAGGAUGUCUGUAUUAUCCAUUAAUAAUAUGUGUAUAUCCAUAACGUCUGUCUAUCUCUCUUUCUUCAAGAUUUUGCUAAGCACAUAAAGGCGGACAGGUUUAAUUUUCAAUGAUGCCUGAGAUACACUCCUCAGUUGUCACUUUGAAGGAUUCUUCGCUGUCCACCGUGUUUCAGCCAGCCAGUGAGAGGUGCAGUCGGACUGAUGGUUGACAGAUCUGGACUUGUCUGCGGCACCAGGAUCCAUGAGUAUCAGGCUAUCAUGUGGACGUGCUUCCUGAUCAGGGUCCGUGCUAUGCUCAGCUGCUUCAACCAAGGCUUCUCUGUGAAGCCACCAGGGUUCACAGACUGCAAGCUGGAGAGUUGUCGUUGUGGUGCCCUUUUGGAAGGGAUUUGUUGCACUGAAAGUAAGUUGCUGAUUGGAGGUAAAGGCUGCAGAGCUUUGGCCUUAAUUCCUCUCCUUGGUCUGAUCACAGCCUUCCUAGAUUUGGAAGACAUAUUCGGUGGGUUGAAGCCAUCUACUAGCAACAUAUCCUCCACCCUGACUUUGAGGGCUGCAUUGGUGUACUGGCAUCGAUUGGAGGCUGCCCUUUUCUGCCCCAAAUGCACCCAGCGUUUUAUCUGGAGGUAAACGCGCAUGGGCAGCGACACGCUUGGCAGGGAAACUACUGAGCACAGCUUGUUGGCUAAGUAGCGCACACAAUCCCUGUGACCACGUUGAAUAGCAACUUUCAAAGGGUCACGACCUGCAGGGUCCAGACAAGCCAAGGUCAAAAAGUUCUUGGUGAUAAAGAGUUUGAGGAUGAGGAGCUGACUGCUCUCUGCAGCUAUGUGGAUGGGACACUUUCCGGUGUCUCGGUGGGCGGUUUGGUGGCACCACUGGCGGUACGGAUGGACUCCCACUGGUUCCUCAGCAUGGAUACCUCUCUCCAGCAACCAGUCUGCCAGAUCCAGGUGGCCUAAAGAGGCAGCAAUGUAGAGUGCUACCUGCAGCUGAAACCUGGAAAAGAAGGAUGAGAAAGAUUUUCUUUUGUGGGUGGCUCUGGACUGUCAAUCUGUGGCCCAGGAGGCAACCCUGGAGAAACUCCACCCACCCGUCCCACGUGUCCAAACGGAGAGUAGUGCCUUUGUUGAAAAAAAUACAAAUACAUUUUUUAAAAUUCUAUUUAA
Molecule: long non-coding RNA, 2196 nt
Organism: Dicentrarchus labrax (European seabass)
Lineage: Eukaryota; Metazoa; Chordata; Actinopteri; Moronidae
Exons: 5
Source: RefSeq, a predicted model, not a curated record